RNAcentral lists this non-coding RNA (102 nucleotides) under Salisediminibacterium selenitireducens. Its description in RNAcentral is "Bacillus selenitireducens Guanine sequence". It matches the Rfam family "Purine riboswitch aptamer". Rfam says of the family: Riboswitches are metabolite binding domains within certain messenger RNAs that serve as precision sensors for their corresponding targets. Allosteric rearrangement of mRNA structure is mediated by ligand binding, and this results in modulation of gene expression. The record is from RNAcentral. Lineage: Bacteria; Bacillati; Bacillota; Bacilli; Caryophanales; Bacillaceae.
AUUCUUAUUAUCUAUAUUGUUCGUAUAAUCUUGGGAAUAGGGCCCAAAAGUUUCUACCGGAUCCCCGUAAAGGAUCUGACUACGAACGAUAAUCAGUGUUGC